GAUGAAGAACGCAGCGAAAUGCGACAAGUAAUGUGAAUUGCAGAAUUCCGUGAAUCAUCGAAUCUUUGAACGCACAUUGCGCUCCCUGGUAUUCCGGGGAGCAUGCCUGUUCGAGCGUCAUUACAACCCUCAAGCUCUGCUUGGUGUUGGGCCCCGCCGCCCCGGCGGGCCCUAAAGUCAGUGGCGGUGCCGUCCGGCUCCGAGCGUAGUAAUUUUUCUCGCUUUGGAGGCCCGGGCGCGUGCUUGCCAUCAACCCCCAAUUUUUUUCAGGUUGACCUCGGAUCAGGUAGGGAUACCCGCUGAACUUAAGCAUAUCAAUAAGCGGAGGA
Molecule: unclassified non-coding RNA, 329 nt
Filed under: soil metagenome
Description: partial contains 5.8S ribosomal RNA, internal transcribed spacer 2, and large subunit ribosomal RNA
Rfam family: 5.8S ribosomal RNA (bases 1-120)
Source: RNAcentral